NCGAAGUUAAUCGUGCUUUGGGCGAGAUUAGUACUAUGAUGGGUGACCUCCUGGGAAGUCCUCGUGUUGCACCCCUCGG
Molecule: ribosomal RNA, 79 nt
Filed under: Melaleuca nesophila
Lineage: Eukaryota; Viridiplantae; Streptophyta; Magnoliopsida; Myrtales; Myrtaceae
Source: RNAcentral